UAAAUAUUUACUACCUCUGGAUGCACCC
Molecule: non-coding RNA, 28 nt
Filed under: Rattus norvegicus (Norway rat)
Lineage: Eukaryota; Metazoa; Chordata; Mammalia; Rodentia; Muridae
Source: RNAcentral